UUAAGCGACUAAGCGUACACGGUGGAUGCCCUGGCAGUCAGAGGCGAUGAAGGGCGUGCUAAUCUGCGAUAAGCGCCGGUAAGGUGAUAUGAACCGUUAUAACCGGCGAUACCCGAAUGGGGAAACCCAGUGUGUUUCGACACACUAUCAUUAACUGAAUCCAUAGGUUAAUGAGGCGAACCGGGGGAACUGAAACAUCUAAGUACCCCGAGGAAAAGAAAUCAACCGAGAUUCCCCCAGUAGCGGCGAGCGAACGGGGAGGAGCCCAGAGCCUGAAUCAGCAUGUGUGUUAGUGGAAGCGUCUGGAAAGGCGCGCGAUACAGGGUGACAGCCCCGUACACAAAAGCGCAUGUGCUGUGAGCUCGAUGAGUAGGGCGGGACACGUGGUAUCCUGUCUGAAUAUGGGGGGACCAUCCUCCAAGGCUAAAUACUCCUGACUGACCGAUAGUGAACCAGUACCGUGAGGGAAAGGCGAAAAGAACCCCGGCGAGGGGAGUGAAAAAGAACCUGAAACCGUGUACGUACAAGCAGUGGGAGCACCCUUUGGGGUGUGACUGCGUACCUUUUGUAUAAUGGGUCAGCGACUUAUAUUCUGUAGCAAGGUUAACCGAAUAGGGGAGCCGGAGGGAAACCGAGUCUUAAUUGGGCGUUAAGUUGCAGGGUAUAGACCCGAAACCCGGUGAUCUAGCCAUGGGCAGGUUGAAGGUUGGGUAACACUAACUGGAGGACCGAACCGACUAAUGUUGAAAAAUUAGCGGAUGACCUGUGGCUGGGGGUGAAAGGCCAAUCAAACCGGGAGAUAGCUGGUUCUCCCCGAAAGCUAUUUAGGUAGCGCCUCGUGAAUUCAUCUCCGGGGGUAGAGCACUGUUUCGGCUAGGGGGCCAUCCCGGCUUACCAACCCGAUGCAAACUGCGAAUACCGGAGAAUGUUAUCACGGGAGACACACGGCGGGUGCUAACGUCCGUCGUGAAGAGGGAAACAACCCAGACCGCCAGCUAAGGUCCCAAAGUCAUGGUUAAGUGGGAAACGAUGUGGGAAGGCCCAGACAGCCAGGAUGUUGGCUUAGAAGCAGCCAUCAUUUAAAGAAAGCGUAAUAGCUCACUGGUCGAGUCGGCCUGCGCGGAAGAUGUAACGGGGCUAAACCAUGCACCGAAGCUGCGGCAGCGACGCUGAUGCGUUGUUGGGUAGGGGAGCGUUCUGUAAGCCUGCGAAGGUGGCCUGUGAGGGUUGCUGGAGGUAUCAGAAGUGCGAAUGCUGACAUAAGUAACGAUAAAGCGGGUGAAAAGCCCGCUCGCCGGAAGACCAAGGGUUCCUGUCCAACGUUAAUCGGGGCAGGGUGAGUCGACCCCUAAGGCGAGGCCGAAAGGCGUAGUCGAUGGGAAACGGGUUAAUAUUCCCGUACUUGGUGUUACUGCGAAGGGGGGACGGAGAAGGCUAUGUUGGCCGGGCGACGGUUGUCCCGGUUUAAGCGUGUAGGUGUGUGUUCCAGGUAAAUCCGGUUCACUUUAACACUGAGGCGUGAUGACGAGGCACUACGGUGCUGAAGCAACAAAUGCCCUGCUUCCAGGAAAAGCCUCUAAGCAUCAGGUAACAUCAAAUCGUACCCCAAACCGACACAGGUGGUCAGGUAGAGAAUACCAAGGCGCUUGAGAGAACUCGGGUGAAGGAACUAGGCAAAAUGGUGCCGUAACUUCGGGAGAAGGCACGCUGACAUGUAGGUGAAGUGAUUUACUCAUGGAGCUGAAGUCAGUCGAAGAUACCAGCUGGCUGCAACUGUUUAUUAAAAACACAGCACUGUGCAAACACGAAAGUGGACGUAUACGGUGUGACGCCUGCCCGGUGCCGGAAGGUUAAUUGAUGGGGUCAGCGCAAGCGAAGCUCCUGAUCGAAGCCCCGGUAAACGGCGGCCGUAACUAUAACGGUCCUAAGGUAGCGAAAUUCCUUGUCGGGUAAGUUCCGACCUGCACGAAUGGCGUAAUGAUGGCCAGGCUGUCUCCACCCGAGACUCAGUGAAAUUGAACUCGCUGUGAAGAUGCAGUGUACCCGCGGCAAGACGGAAAGACCCCGUGAACCUUUACUAUAGCUUGACACUGAACAUUGAGCCUUGAUGUGUAGGAUAGGUGGGAGGCUUUGAAGUGUGGACGCCAGUCUGCAUGGAGCCGGCCUUGAAAUACCACCCUUUAAUGUUUGAUGUUCUAACGUGGACCCGUGAUCCGGGUUGCGGACAGUGUCUGGUGGGUAGUUUGACUGGGGCGGUCUCCUCCUAAAGAGUAACGGAGGAGCACGAAGGUUGGCUAAUCCUGGUCGGACAUCAGGAGGUUAGUGCAAUGGCAUAAGCCAGCUUGACUGCGAGCGUGACGGCGCGAGCAGGUGCGAAAGCAGGUCAUAGUGAUCCGGUGGUUCUGAAUGGAAGGGCCAUCGCUCAACGGAUAAAAGGUACUCCGGGGAUAACAGGCUGAUACCGCCCAAGAGUUCAUAUCGACGGCGGUGUUUGGCACCUCGAUGUCGGCUCAUCACAUCCUGGGGCUGAAGUAGGUCCCAAGGGUAUGGCUGUUCGCCAUUUAAAGUGGUACGCGAGCUGGGUUUAGAACGUCGUGAGACAGUUCGGUCCCUAUCUGCCGUGGGCGCUGGAGAACUGAGGGGGGCUGCUCCUAGUACGAGAGGACCGGAGUGGACGCAUCACUGGUGUUCGGGUUGUCAUGCCAAUGGCACUGCCCGGUAGCUAAAUGCGGAAGAGAUAAGUGCUGAAAGCAUCUAAGCACGAAACUUGCCCCGAGAUGAGUUCUCCCUGAGACUUUAAGUCUCCUGAAGGAACGUUGAAGACGACGACGUUGAUAGGCCGGGUGUGUAAGCGCAGCGAUGCGUUGAGCUAACCGGUACUAAUGAACCGUGAGGCUUAACCUU
This 2904-nucleotide ribosomal RNA is filed under the name Salmonella enterica subsp. enterica serovar Bredeney. Its description in RNAcentral is "bacterial LSU rRNA". It matches the Rfam family "Bacterial large subunit ribosomal RNA". The record is from RNAcentral. Lineage: Bacteria; Pseudomonadati; Pseudomonadota; Gammaproteobacteria; Enterobacterales; Enterobacteriaceae.